UGCGUCAUCCGAAUGGAUGGUUAAAGCCAAUCCCAGAUGUUGUAAGCAAUUGUUCAGUUGAACUAAGGUGUUUGUGAAUGAAGCUGCUGUCUGGUUGAAUGGAGAUGUGGCUUGGAAUAUAUAGGUGUUCUUUGUGAUAAUUUUCUGCUUGUUUUUAAUAUGUCCUUUCCCUCUUGUUUCAGCUUUGCGUGUCUUUUGUAAAAAAUUCAUGUACUGUACAUAAGAAGUUUGUUACUUCUUGGUUUGCUUUCUCUCGUUUCUUAAAAUAUGGAGCUUCUUUUCCUUUAUUCAACAUUCUAC
Molecule: long non-coding RNA, 300 nt
Filed under: Phoenix dactylifera (date palm)
Lineage: Eukaryota; Viridiplantae; Streptophyta; Magnoliopsida; Arecales; Arecaceae
Description: long non-coding RNA (PDAC_LNC012899)
Source: RNAcentral